AGCUUCGGCCAUCCGGCGAGGGAUGGGCCCGCGGUGCAUUAGCUAGUUGGUGGGGUAACGGCCCACCAAGGCGACGAUGCGUAGCUGGUCUGAGAGGAUGAUCAGCCACACUGGGACUGAGACACGGCCCAGACUCCUACGGGAGGCAGCAGCCAGGAAUCUUGGGCAAUGGGCGCAAGCCUGACCCAGCAACACCGUGUGGGCGAUGAAGGCCUUCGGGUCGUAAAGCCCUGUUGAUAGGGACGAAGGGCGAAGGGUUAAUAGCCC
RNAcentral lists this ribosomal RNA (267 nucleotides) under uncultured Rubrobacter sp. RNAcentral's name for it is "partial 16S ribosomal RNA". It matches the Rfam family "Bacterial small subunit ribosomal RNA", at positions 202 to 468 of the family's 1533-position model. Lineage: Bacteria; Bacillati; Actinomycetota; Rubrobacteria; Rubrobacterales; Rubrobacteraceae. The record is from RNAcentral.